This 455-nucleotide ribosomal RNA is filed under the name uncultured bacterium. RNAcentral describes it as "bacterial SSU rRNA". It matches the Rfam family "Bacterial small subunit ribosomal RNA", at positions 340 to 786 of the family's 1533-position model. The record is from RNAcentral.
UACGGAAGGCAGCAGUGGGGAAUAUUGCACAAUGGGCGAAAGCCUGAUGCAGCUAUGCCGCGUGUAUGAAGAAGGCCUUAGGGUUGUAAAGUACUUUCAUCGGGGAGGAAAAACAAAACUAAUAAUUUUAUUUCUUGACGUUACCCGAAAAAGAAGCACCGGCUAACUCCGUGCCAGCAGCCGCGGUAAUACGGAGGGUGCUAGCGUUAAUCAGAAUUACUGGGCGUAAAGAGCACGUAAGUGGUUUUUUUAAGUCAGAUGUGAAAUCCCUGGGCUUAACCUAGGAACUGCAUUUUGAAACUGAAAUACUAGAGUAUCGUAGAGGGAGGUAGAAUUCUAGGUGUAGCGGUGAAAUGCGUAGAUAUCUGGAGGAAUACCUGUGGCGAAAGCGGCCUCCUAAACGAAUACUGACACUGAGGUGCGAAAGCGUGGGGAGCAAACAGGGAUUAGAUACC